GGGCGCAUAAGUAACAGGUCGUAGACCCGAAACCAGGUGAUCUACCCAUGUCCAGGAUGAAGGUAAGGUAAUACUUACUGGAGGUCCGAACCCACGCACGUUGAAAAGUGCGGGGAUGAGGUGUGGGUAGCGGAGAAAUUCCAAUCGAACUUGGAGAUAGCUGGUUCUCUCCGAAAUAGCUUUAGGGCUAGCCUCGAGGUAAAGAGUCAUGGAGGUAGAGCACUGUUUGGACUAGGGGCCCUUCUCGGGUUACCGAAUUCAGAUAAACUCCGAAUGCCAUGUACUUAUACUCGGGAGUCAGACUGCGAGUGAUAAGAUCCGUAGUCGAAAGGGAAACAGCCCAGACCACCAGUUAAGGUCCCCAAAUAUAUGUUAAGUGGAAAAGGAUGUGGGGUUGCUUAGACAACCAGGAUGUUGGCUUAGAAGCAGCCACCAUUGAAAGAGUGCGUAAUAGCUCACUGGUCGAGUGACCCCGCGCCGAAAAUGUACCGGGGCUAAACAUAUUACCGAAACUGUGGAUGAACCUCUUUAGAGGUUCGUGGUAGGAGAGCGUUCUAAGGGCGGUGAAGUCAGACCGGAAGGACUGGUGGAGCGCUUAGAAGUGAGAAUGCCGGUAUGAGUAGCGAAAGAAGGGUGAGAAUCCCUUCCACCGAAUAUCUAAGGUUUCCUGAGGAAGGCUCGUCCGCUCAGGGUUAGUCGGGACCUAAGCCGAGGCCGAUAGGCGUAGGCGAUGGACAACAGGUAGAGAUUCCUGUACCAGUGCUAAUUGUUUAACCGAUGGGGUGACACAGAAGGAUAGGGAAUCGCACGAAUGGAAAUGUGCGUCCAAGCAGUGAGUGUGAGAAGUAGGCAAAUCCGCUUCUCGCGAAGCAUGAGCUGUGAUGGGGAAGGAAAUUAAGUACGGAAGUUCCUGAUUUCACGCUGUCAAGAAAAGCCUCUAGGAAGAGUAGUACUGCCCGUACCGCAAACCGACACAGGUAGAUGAGGAGAGAAUCCUAAGGUGAGCGAGAGAACUCUCGUUAAGGAACUCGGCAAAAUGACCCCGUAACUUCGGGAGAAGGGGUGCUCUAUUAGGGUGCAAGCCCGAGAGAGCCGCAGUGAAUAGGCCCAGGCGACUGUUUAGCAAAAACACAGGUCUCUGCAAAACCGUAAGGUGACGUAUAGGGGCUGACGCCUGCCCGGUGCUGGAAGGUUAAGAGGAGUGCUUAGCUUCGGCGAAGGUACGAAUUGAAGCCCCAGUAAACGGCGGCCGUAACUAUAACGGUCCUAAGGUAGCGAAAUUCCUUGUCGGGUAAGUUCCGACCCGCACGAAAGGCGCAACGAUCUGGGCACUGUCUCAACGAGAGACUCGGUGAAAUUAUAGUACCUGUGAAGAUGCAGGUUACCCGCGACAGGACGGAAAGACCCCGUGGAGCUUUACUGCAACCUGAUAUGGAAUGUUUGUACCGCUUGUACAGGAUAGGUAGGAGCCGAAGAGACGUGUGCGCUAGCAUACGAGGAGGCAAUGGUGGGAUACUACCCUGGCUGUAUGACCAUUCUAACCCGCCACGCUUAGCGCGUGGGGAGACAGUGUCAGGUGGGCAGUUUGACUGGGGCGGUCGCCUCCUAAAGAGUAACGGAGGCGCCCAAAGGUUCCCUCAGAAUGGAUGGAAAUCAUUCGCAGAGUGUAAAGGCACAAGGGAGCUUGACUGCGAGACUGACAAGUCGAGCAGGGACGAAAGUCGGGCUUAGUGAUCCGGUGGUUCCGCAUGGAAGGGCCAUCGCUCAACGGAUAAAAGCUACCCCGGGGAUAACAGGCUUAUCUCCCCCAAGAGUCCACAUCGACGGGGAGGUUUGGCACCUCGAUGUCGGCUCGUCGCAUCCUGGGGCUGUAGUCGGUCCCAAGGGUUGGGCUGUUCGCCCAUUAAAGCGGCACGCGAGCUGGGUUCAGAACGUCGUGAGACAGUUCGGUCCCUAUCCGUCGCGGGCGCAGGAAAUUUGAGAGGAGCUGUCCUUAGUACGAGAGGACCGGGAUGGACACACCGCUGGUGUACCAGUUGUUCCGCCAGGAGCAUCGCUGGGUAGCUAUGUGUGGCAGGGAUAAACGCUGAAAGCAUCUAAGCGUGAAGCCCCCCUCAAGAUGAGAUUUCCCAUUUCUUCGGAAAGUAAGAUCCCUGAAAGAUGAUCAGGUAGAUAGGUUUGGAGUGGAAGUGUAGCGAUACAUGGAGCGGACAAAUACUAAUCGAUCGAGGACUUAACCAA
Molecule: ribosomal RNA, 2241 nt
Filed under: Listeria monocytogenes
Lineage: Bacteria; Bacillati; Bacillota; Bacilli; Caryophanales; Listeriaceae
Description: partial 23S ribosomal RNA
Rfam family: Bacterial large subunit ribosomal RNA
Source: RNAcentral